RNAcentral lists this ribosomal RNA (445 nucleotides) under uncultured soil bacterium. RNAcentral describes it as "bacterial SSU rRNA". It matches the Rfam family "Bacterial small subunit ribosomal RNA", at positions 26 to 491 of the family's 1533-position model. The record is from RNAcentral.
AGAGUGAACGCUGGCGGCAGGCCUAAUACAUGCAAGUCGAACGGCAGCACAGCAGAGCUUGCUCUGUGGGUGGCGAGUGGCGGACGGGUGAGGAAUACAUGGGAAUCUGCCCAGUCGUGGGGGAUAACGUAGGGAAACUUACGCUAAUACCGCAUACGACCUUAGGGUGAAAGCGUGGGACCGCAAGGCCACGCGCGAUUGGAUGAGCCGAUGUCGGAUUAGCUUGUUGGCGGGUAAAGGCCCACCAAGGCGACGAUCCGUAGCUGGUCUGAGAGGAUGGAUCAGCCACACUGGAACUGAGACCACGGUCCAGACUCCGUACGGGAGCAGCAGGUGGGAAUAUGGACAAUGGGCGCAAGCCUAGAUCCAGCCAGUGCCGCGUGUACGUAGAAGAAGGCCUUUACGGGUUAGUAAAGCCUUACGUUUUACGGACCCGGUAAAAAGG